CUCUCGGACCGAUUGUGGAACCAGCUAUAGUCCAGCUAGGCUCCGAUUCCGAUGUUGAAAGUGAAUUGCCAACUCUACCAGGCAAUACCUAUAAUUGUCCGGAAUCUUUUGGAAUCAUCUGAAACCUGGAAACGUUCUGAAUCGUCCUGAAUCGUCCUGAAGCGUCGUAGAAACUGCUCCGAUUUCUCCUCCGAAGCAAGAUCCAUAAAGUACUACAUGUCCUGUGUAGGAACGUGCCAUCUGGACCAUCUGAUCGCUCCAUACACUUUUAGAGGUAUGGUUAAUGGCCCAAGACAAACAUCCUCCAAUGUAGUCUAUAUUACAUUGGACGUUAUAAAACUCUUGUCGAUUUGGUAGAAAGUAUCCCAAGUAUCACAAAAUCAACAUGCUUUUUUAUGGUCUGUUGAGAAGACUUUAAAAAUGUAUUGGUUGCUGAAUCGUAUCAUCGACGAACUGACAAACUAAUGGAAUCGUAACAUUUGGAGUCGCAUUUGCUAACAAAACUGAAUACAAAAUAAUCCCACCUUAAUCUGAAGUCAUCUUUACGGGCCAAACACGUGUCCAGAUUUGGAAAUAAAUACGAAACCGUUCUACAAUGGCGUUGCUUUCGGUUUCGAACGAUUCCGCACGAUUCCUUCGAUUCGGAAUCAGCUCCACAA
This is a long non-coding RNA of Anopheles coluzzii, 659 nucleotides long. RefSeq lists it as uncharacterized. The record is from RefSeq and is a predicted model, not a curated record. NCBI's taxonomy places the organism in Eukaryota, Metazoa, Arthropoda, Insecta, Diptera, Culicidae. The transcript is spliced from 2 exons.